CGAAAAAUUACAUGGAAAAAUGAGUAAAAAAAAUUAUGGAUGAGCCCAAGUUUCUUUUAAAAUUAAAAACCACCUGGGGUUUAUAACAACCUUAUUAUGCAGAUGAUAUUUACACUUCAGAAAUAUUUAAGACAAUUGUAACCCUGUAAAGCUGAUGAGAUAUUAAAACAAGACAAAAACUGAAAACGAAAUGGAGUGGGGAGCUGGGUGUGUGUUGGUGAUCUUGAAACAAUAGCUUUUGAUGUUUCUGACACACCAUUUUGGAGGGUGCUUCUAACACUACCCACCUUCAUUCCUUCCUUCAUUCAUACGCUCAUGCAUUCA
This 324-nucleotide long non-coding RNA is filed under the name Pan troglodytes (chimpanzee). Its description in RNAcentral is "long non-coding RNA NONPTRT004885". Lineage: Eukaryota; Metazoa; Chordata; Mammalia; Primates; Hominidae. The record is from RNAcentral.